Camelus dromedarius (Arabian camel) is the source of this 1994-nucleotide long non-coding RNA. RefSeq lists it as uncharacterized. The record is from RefSeq and is a predicted model, not a curated record. The transcript has 4 exons. NCBI's taxonomy places the organism in Eukaryota, Metazoa, Chordata, Mammalia, Artiodactyla, Camelidae.
UGCAUAAUUUCCACUGGGGGAUAAUUCUGAGGGACACAUGUGUGCAAAAUCUGAGUGGUCUGGAAUUGUCUGGGCUGGAGAAGGGCUCCCCCCAUGGGAGGAAGGGGCCUGUGGCUGGCAGAGCCACCCAGGCUGACUGUCCCCCAACCCUCCGGCAUCUCAGGGUCCAGCCUGGGCUUCAGGAGAGCAGGCCUUAGAUCCUGGUCCCUCCAGCUUCCCACUUCCAGCUGUGUGGCCUUGAGUAGGUCCCUUCUACCCUCCGGGCUCCCAUGUCCUGGGCUUCAGAGGGUCAGAGGAUCGGAGGCCCCUUCCAGUCCCAGCCAUCCACCAAUGUCAUGUUUCUCAAAUUCCUCAGGCUGGUCUCCCCAGGCCUAGUCAAGCAAGUUUCACCCUCCUGAGAGCCGAAAAAAGACAGAUCCAGGAUCCCAUGGGGACAGCCCUGGCACAGCUGGACUUGAACCAGGGCCUACUAUGUGCUGGAGCACAGAGCAAGCAAGACAGACUGGGAAACCUGCUGUCACCCUCCAGUGUGACACGUGUGGUCUCGGGGCAAAUAGCAGCUGUGAGAGCCGGAGGAGGCCUCUGACCAGAGCGAGGACCAAGCUGCUUCAUUGCCAUUUUAUGGAUGAGAAAACUGAGGCUUAGAGAGAUACCACGAGGAACCAAGAGCCUCCCAGCUCCCUGCCCUUUCCCACUCCAAGGACCACAGUGUGGGAGCCGUGCCCAGGACAACUCCCUCCAUCUCGCCCCAUCCUGCCCGUGGCCAGGGAGGAUGGCGUUCCGGGAAUGUCUUUCUCCAGAGCCAGGCACCUCCCCAUCCCCGCUCCCGCUCCUGGCUCUGAGCCCACCCCUCGGCACUGCCCAUCCAUCUGCUGUCGCUUCCUGGCAGGGCCAGUGGGCCAUACAUCACCCGACGAAGCCUGAGGCAGCCCGGCAAAGCAGGGAUGCAGCAGUGAACAAAAUCCAGCACCAGACAAAAAAAGAAAGUCUACAGUGUGUUACGUUGUGGAAAGUGCAAACCAGGACAACAAGGCACGGCAGUGGGAGAACAGGUGUGGUUUAUGUUUUGUGUGUGUGUGAGUGUGUGUGUGUGUGUGUGGUUUUUUUAAGCAAGCAAGGCCAAGGAAAGCCUAUAAGAAGGUGACUUUUGAGUAAAGACCUGAAGGAGUGAAGGAUGAAGAUGUCUAGGGGGAGAGAAUUCCUGGUAGACAACACAGCAAGGGCAAAGGCCCUGAGGCAGGAGUGUGCCUGGCCCCCUGCCAGGUAAGGCAGCUGGAGGAGGAGGUGGGGGCAGAAAGGUGAGCAGAGAGGUACAUUGGUCUCCUGUGACUUUGGUGCUCCCUCAGAAGAUGGUGGAGGCCAUUGGAAGGCUGUGAGGGGACCAUGUCUUUGCUAGGAGAGUGACCAGUGAUAGUUUAGGGGACCAUUGGAAGGGGCAUAGGAUAGAGGCCUUCUUUCCAUGGUCUGUCUGUCCUUCCUCCCUCCCUUUUUUCUUUCUUUCUUUCCUUUAUUAAUUAAUCCAGUAAAUAUUUAUUGAGUGCCAGAUAGUCCUAGCCUUUCGUGAACUCAGUCCAAAGGACAUUCCACCCUGGCCCGUCCCCUACUUCAGGCACUUCACAAUGUCUGCCCCGCAUCCCUGGGGUGGGGCUGGGCCCCCUUCAGCCCCUUUCCAUGCUCCAGAGGGUCAGCUUGUGUGCCCCUCACAUAGGUGCAGAAUGGCAGCUGUGUGUGUCAAAUGUUGGUGUUCAGGGCUGGUGAGUCUCAGAUGCACAGAUGAGAUGCACGUGGAGCACACACAAGGAUGUCCCCUUCCCUCCCUGGGCCUCAGUUUCCCAUCUGAGAACUGAGCAGGGCGAGAAGACUUAAGACCUCUUUCUAUUCUAAAAUGGGGAUACAUGAUUAUCCAGAGCCCAGUGAUCCCGUGUGAGCACAGGGAAGGGCUGGGCUGGAGGGAGCUGCUCUACAUCUUUCUGUAGAAACUGAGUUUGAGCUUA